AUGAUGCUCGCUGUUUUAUUGACAAGUGACAUUAUCAUCAGAAGAGAGUUAAUAUUUUCUUUUGAUCCUCGCAGAGUAAGUGUUGCUGAUGGAGCUCAUUUGACUGAAUUGGCUACUCCACAUUUUGAGGGGCUGCAAUUGAAUAAUACAACUCUUUAUGAUGGGAAUAACUUUGUGCCAGCAUUUGGUCUUCCUCAUUGUUUUAGCAUGAGACAAGAAUUUCCUCCCGUGGAUCAAGAUUUCAUUGCUGAUGGAAACAUAGAACAGAGGUCAAAUCACACACACCGCAGGAGAAGAGAUUUUCCAAAAACAUCAGCAUUGCGCAAGUUUUCUGAGAAGCACGAGUUUGGAAGUUCCAGCACUUCUAUGGAGCCAUCAUAUUUUCUGAAAGCAACAGCCCCGAGUCCUACAGAAGAAAGAAAUCCACCAAAGCCUCCAAAAUUUCUUGCGGAAAACUGCAACCGUCAACCACAUCAUCACAGCGUUGGCCUACCUGUUCAAUAUCUAGAUUUCUUCAUAACUAACUUGGGAGAAAUCGAUAAACAUGCAUGCUACCACAAUUGUCACCAGAUAUGGCCAGUGGGUUUUACAUCUUACUGGCAUGAUAGAGUUACUGGUUCACUGCUUGAGUGUGAGGUGUGUGAUGGAGGAAGUUCUGGGCCCUUGUUUAAGGUCAGAAGGUUACCAUGUUCAGCAUUCCCCCUUCCAGAAGCUUCAACUAUUCUCUCCCAGAAUGGUGCAAGAAUGGCCGAUACAACUGAAACAAAGGAAAGUGGCAGUUUUAUCAGAGAUACUGCUAAUGAUAUGGAUGAUAAUAUUUAUAUGAUUAUCGAUAUUCCCUCUGAGACCAAACAAGAUUUGUUAUCAUGUCUUACCAAUGAUACGGAGGAGAAAAGGACUUCUUUGGGUUGCAAUGAUCUACAGAGUUCAAAUAUGAUGUCACAAAUACUACCAUCAAAUUCUGAGAAUGCUCCACCAAGUAAAGAAGCCAAUAUUAAUGACCAAAUUGGGGAGUUUACAUUUGAGGGAACAUCAUCCUCUUCAGUAUGGGGGAUGAUUUCUUCUGCUAUGAUGGAAGCUUGUGAAAAAAUGUACAGGGAACAUGGGCAUCUGGUAUUCUCAUGCACGCACAGCAGUGAAAAUCAUUUAUUAAACAAGGGGAGUGGAUGUCAGAACUUUGAUGGUCCUUACGCUCCCCUAACUAGAUUUUGCUCGUCCAAUGGCCCCAGUAUACCACGAGUUACAGAAAAGAAGAAUGAUGUGGAAUCUACUUAUACAUUACUGAAGAAUUGGUUAUACCAUGAUAGAAUUGGGCUUGAUUUGGAAUUUGUUCAAGAAAUUGUGGAGUCUCUUCCUAGAUCCAGGUCUUGCAUAAACUACCAGUUCUUGUGCAAUAGGACCGAAUUUCACUCUUCUGUGACAGUUGCAAGUGGUUUACUUUUAUCUGUGCAUAAAGAUGGUCAAAGUAAUGGAGAUACGUCAUAUCAUAGACAUGGUGCGGUGACUGGGCUACAUGAUCAUGCUCAGCCCAGCGCUUCUAGCAUCCGCGAGCUACCUCCAGGACGUCCUAUUAGCCAUAAACUUCAACCAGAAUCGGCGGCAGAUGUUUUCCAGAUAUGGGAGUUCUUGGGGCGCUUUGCCGAAAUCAUUGAUCUCAAAGAAGUGCCUUCAUACGAACAAUUAGAAGAUGAACUUGCUGACCCAUGGCCAAUUUGUGCAAGUCCGGAAGAAACACUGUCAAAGGGCAUUCAACAAUGUAGGGAUUACUCUUCACCAAUGAAUAAUUCCCCUGCAAAUGCUUCUACAUCACAUUCAAAUAGUGAAUCUGGUCUCUCCAAUAAUGAAGAGAUUGUGUCUGUAUUUAUUCCUGUUGAAACUUCCUCUAUGAAGGAAGCUUGUCUAGAUAAAUUGGCAGCCAAGACACUUGGGAGGUGCACUGGUACAAUAUUGCCUGGGGUUCAUCUUGCACUCAUUAAGGUUCUUUUUGGUGAGGUAUUAUCAAAGCUGAACAUUGACCCGAAAGAUUCAAAACCCAGGCGUGGAAGAAAGAAGGACACUGAGAACCUUAUUUCAACAAAGGAUUUUAACUUUGAUAUGCUAACUGCUAACAAGUUGACUUGGCCAGAGUUGGCUAGAAGGUAUAUGUUAGCUAUUUCUUCCAAAAAUGGGUGCAUGGAUGUGUCAAAUAUUUCCAGUCGAGAAAGGGUGAAGUUAUUCCGCUGCCUACACGGUGAUGGUGGCAUAUUGUGCGGAGCAGUACCUGGGGUUGCCGGCAUGGAGAAGGAUGCCCUGAUUAACUCUUUAUAA
This 2307-nucleotide ribosomal RNA is filed under the name Triticum aestivum (bread wheat). RNAcentral describes it as "partial small subunit ribosomal RNA". Lineage: Eukaryota; Viridiplantae; Streptophyta; Magnoliopsida; Poales; Poaceae. The record is from RNAcentral.